UACAGAGGGUGCGAGCGUUAAUCGGAAUUACUGGGCGUAAAGCGUGCGUAGACGGUUAUUUAAGUCGGGUGUGAAAGCCCCGGGCUCAACCUGGGAAUUGCAUUCGAGACUGAAUAGCUAGGGUACGGUAGAGGGAAGUGGAAUUUCCGGUGUAGCGGUGAAAUGCGUAGAUAUCGGAAGGAACAUCAGUGGCGAAAGCGACUUCCUGGACCAGUACCGACGUUCAGGCACGAAAGCGUGGGGAGCAGACAGG
Molecule: ribosomal RNA, 253 nt
Filed under: uncultured bacterium
Lineage: Bacteria
Description: partial 16S ribosomal RNA
Rfam family: Bacterial small subunit ribosomal RNA
Source: RNAcentral